Non-coding RNA from Vicia faba (fava bean), 189 nucleotides. The record is from the annotation of a GenBank genome assembly. NCBI's taxonomy places the organism in Eukaryota, Viridiplantae, Streptophyta, Magnoliopsida, Fabales, Fabaceae.
AUGCUGAGCUGGGAAUUCGUUUAUUCUGGUUUUACUUCUGGUUUGCACCGGCACGGUUUAGUCACGACAGGCUGUAUUUUUGUUAGUGAGAUAACCAAUUUUUGCAUUAUUUUUUUGAUUGGAUUUUGUGGACUGAUUUGUAGUCUUGUGCAGAAAUGUAGCUUGAGCAUUUAUUAUUUUGGUUAUUGA